Molecule: ribosomal RNA, 497 nt
Filed under: uncultured bacterium
Lineage: Bacteria
Description: partial 16S ribosomal RNA
Rfam family: Bacterial small subunit ribosomal RNA
Source: RNAcentral
GAUGAACGCUGGCGGCGUGCCUAAUACAUGCAAGUCGAACGAACAGACGAUGAGCUUGCUCCUCUGACGUUAGCGGCGGACGUGUGAGUAACACGUGGAUAACCUACCUAUAAUACGGGUAUAACUUCGGGAAACCGGAGCUAAUACCGGAUAAUAUAUUGAACCGCGGGGUUCGAUGGUGAGAGACGGUUUUGCUGUCAGUUAUAGCUGGAUCCGGGCGGCAUUAGAUAGUAGUUCAGGUAACGGCCUACCAAGGCAACGAUGCGUAGACGACGUGAGGGGCGGAUAGGCGACAUUGGAACGUGGACACGGUCAAGACUACUAAGGGAGGCAGCAGAAGGGAAUCUGACGCAGUAGGCGAAAGCAUGACGGAGUAAGGCCGAGUCAGAGGUGAAGGCCCUCGGAUCGUAAUACUCUGUUACGAGGGAAGAACAAAUGUGUAAGUAACUAUGGACGUCUUGACGGUAACUAAUAAGAAAGCAACGGCUAACUACGUG